Non-coding RNA from Arachis ipaensis, 220 nucleotides. Lineage: Eukaryota; Viridiplantae; Streptophyta; Magnoliopsida; Fabales; Fabaceae. The record is from RefSeq and is a predicted model, not a curated record.
UCUCCUUGGACCUUGGGUGUGGUUGUGUAUGUGUGAAUAUUGGAGCUUGAUUGGUGAUUUUGGAAAGCUUAAAAAGGGAUUUGGUGGUGAAAAAUCUAUUCUUGAAGGUGUUGAGACCUUGAGAGCUUGAGGAAAAAGUGGUUUGGAAGUGCUCCGGUUGAGUUUGGGAAAUCGGCUAAGAUGCAGGACGUGAGGUUUCCCGCUGAGGCAUGCUGGAGAC